Molecule: ribosomal RNA, 496 nt
Filed under: uncultured bacterium
Lineage: Bacteria
Description: partial 16S ribosomal RNA
Rfam family: Bacterial small subunit ribosomal RNA
Source: RNAcentral
GAUGAACGCUGGCGGCGUGCCUAAUACAUGCAAGUCGAGCGAACGGACGAGAAGCUUGCUUCUCUGAUGUUAGCGGCGGACGGGUGAGUAACACGUGGAUAACCUACCUAUAAGACUGGGAUAACUUCGGGAAACCGGAGCUAAUACCGGAUGAUAUAUUGAACCGCAUGGUUCAAAAGUGAAAGACGGUCUUGCUGUCACUUAUAGAUGGAUCCGCGCUGCAUUAGCUAGUUGGUAAGGUAACGGCUUACCAAGGCAACGAUGCAUAGCCGACCUGAGAGGGUGAUCGGCCACCCUGGAACUGAGACGCGGUCCAGACUCCUACGGGAGGCAGCAGUAGGGAAUCUUCCGCAAUGGGCGAAAGCCUGACGGAGCAACGCCGCGUGAGUGAGGAAGGUCUUCGGAUCGUAAAACUCUGUUAUUAGGGAAGAACAUAUGUGUAAGUAACUGUGAGCAUCUUGACGGUACCUAAUCAGAAAGCCACGGCUACCUACUU